UUCAUAAAGGUUUGGUAGUAAUUUACACCUAGGUGCAUUUCUCACCCCUCAAAACUACAACCACACUGAGGGAGCGGUUUCAUAAAGCUCGGAGGGCAUAAAUUUCGGCAGUUGUAGUUUUCUGCUUGCUUUGAUUGCAUUUUACUACCAACAGAACUUUAAUAAAUAUUUUAAUUCUGUGAAUUAUCAAAGUAUUAACAUGAAAUGACGUAAUUAUUUUAAUUCAUCAAUAAUAAAAUUAAAUAUGAUGUUUAAAACAAUAAUCAAUAGGUAAUCAGACAAAAAUUUAUUUGCUAUUCUUGCAUUAGGAAUUGUAAACAAAAACAAUCGUCCAAGGCCAUAGAGAAACUACUGCAUUCAUUUUGGCCGGCUGAAUUUGAAUUAGGUUCAGGAUAUUGAUAUAUAUAUAAAUCCCUUUUGUACAUUGAUUGCUUGGGUGUUCAUUUGUUUCUGAUAUAUAUGUUUCAGUGUUUGAUUUAUGUUUUGAUGUGUCCAAACGAUGAGAGCGUCGCAGUGAAACAAUCAAUAAGCCGCUGCCCAAGGUUUGGCCUUGGUUGAGUUUGAGUUUCAGUUUGGUUAGAAGGCAAAGCGCCUCUCCUUAGUUCAAGUUGCAAAAACGAGUGCGACGACUGCUAGUGCUGACUACUGAAAUCUGCUGAAAGGAAGACUGGAGGGCCUUUAGCAGCAGUAGCAGUGGAACUUGGAAGGCUGCCUUGAGGCUGCCUGGCUGGCCUCUACAACAGAGACAAAGUUUAGAAGUUAUUUGUCAACAAUGUUGUCCAUAUUGCAAGAGGUGGCUGACGAGCACCAACCAGCGUGUGCAGCAGCCUUUCCGUUGUAAACGGUGCGCUGACCGCGGAGCCGGGGGUUGUCGACCGCCGGCUGGCACUCACCACCGUCCACCCCAAGCUGGCCAUCAUCGACUGGCUCGAGCACACCAGCACGCUGAACCAGUUCAUCAGCUCGACGUGCCCCGACUUCGAGCAGUAGUGCGCCGAGACGCGCGAGCUGUUCAGUGGGAGCAGAUGAAGCGACAUGGGACUCAGAGCGGCGCCACUGACGUGCAGCUGCAGCUGAUCGGAAUCGACAGGACAUGUGUUCGCGGCUCGGCCACCACUCAUCAGCCUGCUGCUCGUGCCGUUCCGUCUGACGGCGCAGAUGACCGGCCUGGCGGCGUCUCUCGACGCGUCCGGCCACACCCGGCUGCAGGCGCUGCGCUCGUCGCUUUGGGUUGUAAAUGCCGGUGAGCAGUGAGGGUUGCCUCGCUGAGUCGUGUGGGCGCUCGUCACUGUAGAGGUCGCUGUGAGCGCUGUGCUCCUCUUCGACCAGAGGAUAGGUGGCGGUAGCGGUCGGUACGCAGUCAGCAGCGUAUUGACACGUCAUAGACCGAUUGAAGGUCUUCAGUGCGUUAUGAAUAUGGCGCGGGUAGCUCGAUUCCGGCGGCGGCGUGACACGGUGACCCCGUGACCUCUAGCCGUGUCGGUCCGUGUGCGCGGCCCAUUCGCCCCCGACUUGGGUUGUCGAUGGCGGCUGCCGGCGCCCUUAAAAUCGUACGUG
RNAcentral lists this long non-coding RNA (1557 nucleotides) under Amphibalanus amphitrite. RNAcentral's name for it is "uncharacterized LOC122394398". Lineage: Eukaryota; Metazoa; Arthropoda; Thecostraca; Balanomorpha; Balanidae. The record is from RNAcentral.